ACACAUGCAAGUCGAACGGAAAGGCCCAGCUUGCUGGGUACUCGAGUGGCGAACGGGUGAGUAACACGUGGGUGAUCUGCCUUGCACUCUGGGAUAAGCCUGGGAAACUGGGUCUAAUACCGGAUAGGACCUCUGGCUGCAUGGUUGGGGGUGGAAAGCUUUUGCGGUGUGAGAUGGGCCCGCGGCCUAUCAGCUUGUUGGUGGGGUAAUGGCCUACCAAGGCGACGACGGGUAGCCGACCUGAGAGGGUGAUCGGCCACACUGGGACUGAGACACGGCCCAGACUCCUACGGGAGGCAGCAGUGGGGAAUAUUGCACAAUGGGCGCAAGCCUGAUGCAGCGACGCCGCGUGAGGGAUGACGGCCUUCGGGUUGUAAACCUCUUUCGCCAGGGACGAAGCGUAAGUGACGGUACCUGGAGAAGAAGCACCGGCCAACUACGUGCCAGCAGCCGCGGUAAUACGUAGGGUGCGAGCGUUGUCCGGAAUUACUGGGCGUAAAGAGCUCGUAGGCGGUUUGUCGCGUCGUCUGUGAAAUUCUGCAACUCAAUUGCAGGCGUGCAGGCGAUACGGGCAGACUUGAGUACUACAGGGGAGACUGGAAUUCCUGGUGUAGCGGUGAAAUGCGCAGAUAUCAGGAGGAACACCGGUGGCGAAGGCGGGUCUCUGGGUAGUAACUGACGCUGAGGAGCGAAAGCGUGGGGAGCGAACAGGAUUAGAUACCCUGGUAGUCCACGCCGUAAACGGUGGGUACUAGGUGUGGG
RNAcentral lists this ribosomal RNA (762 nucleotides) under Gordonia sp. 14. RNAcentral's name for it is "bacterial SSU rRNA". It matches the Rfam family "Bacterial small subunit ribosomal RNA", at positions 51 to 826 of the family's 1533-position model. Lineage: Bacteria; Bacillati; Actinomycetota; Actinomycetes; Mycobacteriales; Gordoniaceae. The record is from RNAcentral.